Molecule: ribosomal RNA, 460 nt
Filed under: uncultured bacterium
Lineage: Bacteria
Description: partial 16S ribosomal RNA
Rfam family: Bacterial small subunit ribosomal RNA
Source: RNAcentral
CCUACGGGUGGCAGCAGUGAGGAAUAUUGGUCAAUGGACGAGAGUCUGAACCAGCCAAGUAGCGUGAAGGAUGACUGCCCUAUGGGUUGUAAACUUCUUUUAUAUGGGAAUAAAACGUUCCACGUGUGGGAUUUUGUAUGUACCAUAUGAAUAAGGAUCGGCUAACUCCGUGCCAGCAGCCGCGGUAAUACGGAGGAUCCGAGCGUUAUCCGGAUUUAUUGGGUUUAAAGGGAGCGUAGGUGGAUAGUUAAGUCAGUUGUGAAAGUUUGCGGCUCAACCGUAAAAUUGCAGUUGAAACUGGCAGUCUUGAGUACAGUAGAGGUGGGCGGAAUUCGUGGUGUAGCGGUGAAAUGCUUAGAUAUCACGAAGAACUCCGAUUGCGAAGGCAGUUCACUGGACUGCAACUGACACUGAGGCUCGAAAGUGUGGGUAUCAAACAGGAUUAGAUACCCUUGUAGUC